RNAcentral lists this ribosomal RNA (441 nucleotides) under uncultured Sphingomonadaceae bacterium. RNAcentral describes it as "bacterial SSU rRNA". It matches the Rfam family "Bacterial small subunit ribosomal RNA", at positions 337 to 795 of the family's 1533-position model. Lineage: Bacteria; Pseudomonadati; Pseudomonadota; Alphaproteobacteria; Sphingomonadales; Sphingomonadaceae. The record is from RNAcentral.
GCCUACGGGGGGCUGCAGUGGGGAAUAUUGGACAAUGGGGGAAACCCUGAUCCAGCAAUGCCGCGUGAGUGAUGAAGGCCUUAGGGUUGUAAAGCUCUUUUACCCGGGAUGAUAAUGACAGUACCGGGAGAAUAAGCUCCGGCUAACUCCGUGCCAGCAGCCGCGGUAAUACGGAGGGAGCUAGCGUUGUUCGGAAUUACUGGGCGUAAAGCGCGCGUAGGCGGCUAUUCAAGUCAGGGGUGAAAUCCCGGGGCUCAACCCCGGAACUGCCUUUGAAACUGGAUAGCUAGAAUCCUGGAGAGGCGAGUGGAAUUCCGAGUGUAGAGGUGAAAUUCGUAGAUAUUCGGAAGAACACCAGUGGCGAAGGCGACUCGCUGGACAGGUAUUGACGCUGAGGUGCGAAAGCGUGGGGAGCAAACAGGAUUAGAUACCCCAGUAGUC